Saccostrea cuccullata (small rock oyster) is the source of this 212-nucleotide long non-coding RNA. RefSeq lists it as uncharacterized. The transcript is spliced from 3 exons. The record is from RefSeq and is a predicted model, not a curated record. Lineage: Eukaryota; Metazoa; Mollusca; Bivalvia; Ostreida; Ostreidae.
GCCAGUAUAUCUCUGAGGGGACAGACUUGAAGAUAGAUUAAUUGACCUCUUUACGGGACCAAAGCUUUUUUAGCGAUGAAUUUUUGUCUAAUGGUCGCAAUCCUUCUUUGCAUUCCGACUGCAGAUUCAGUUUUAGGCCGAGCUGUUUGUGGAACUCAACCAUACAAUCCUGGUUAUCAAAUAUGCUGCAAUGGAGUAAUUAAUGGGAAAGG